This 468-nucleotide ribosomal RNA is filed under the name uncultured bacterium. RNAcentral's name for it is "partial 16S ribosomal RNA". It matches the Rfam family "Bacterial small subunit ribosomal RNA", at positions 28 to 507 of the family's 1533-position model. The record is from RNAcentral.
GACGAACGCUGGCGGCGUGCUUAACACAUGCAAGUCGAACGGAAAGGCCCUGCUUUUGUGGGGUGCUCGAGUGGCGAACGGGUGAGUAACACGUGAGUAACCUGCCCUUGACUGUGGGAUAACUUCAGGAAACUGGGGCUAAUACCGGAUAGGAGCUCCUGCUGCAUGGUGGGGGUUGGAAAGUUUCGGCGGUUGGGGAUGGACUCGCGGCUUAUCAGCUUGUUGGUGGGGUAGUGGCUUACCAAGGCUAUGAAGGGUAGCCGGCGUGGGAGGGUGACCGGCCACAUUGCGACUGCGAUACGGCCCAGACUCCUACGGGCGGCAGCAGUGGGGAAUAUUGCACAAUGGGCGGAAGCCUGAUGCAGCAACGCCGCGUGCGGGAUGCCGGCCUUCGGGUUGUAAACCGCUUUCGCCUGUGACGAAGCGUGAGUGACGGUAAUGGGUAAAGAAGCACCGGCUAACUACGUG